Malus domestica (apple) is the source of this 2656-nucleotide non-coding RNA. The record is from RefSeq and is a predicted model, not a curated record. Lineage: Eukaryota; Viridiplantae; Streptophyta; Magnoliopsida; Rosales; Rosaceae.
CAUUUGCGUCCUUCCGUUUUUGUAACAAAACCAAUUAUUAUUUCUUCUCUCUCUAAAAACACCGCCUUAUCUCCUCUCUCUCUCUCUCCUCACCCACGCAAUCGGCAAAACAAUCUUGCUUUUCCGGUUCAAUCUCAACCAUCUCCGGGGCUUCCGAUUCAGAUUUGGAAACCGUAAUUUGAAAAAAAUAAGUUUAAUUUAACAAAAAGAAUUGAAUUCGAUUAGGGUUUCGAAUCUGUCAAGACGAGUUGAGAUUUGAAGGAAAUUUCCCCUAUUAUUCGCGAUGACUAACCAUGGAGACCGAGAUUUAGACACGAACAACGAGAUCAAUGGCGGCGAUCGCAUUUCUGAUCAAUGGAGCGGUGGGGAAAUGGAGGACUCGUCGUCUUCGAACGGUGUGGAGAGCAACGGAGCUGGACCGGCGGCGAGGAGGGAGACCGGGCUCGAGGAGCGGUUGACGGGGAUACUUGUUGACGAAGGAGAUGGAGAUCUGUUGCUGCAGCAGAGCAAUCGAGAGGACCGCGUUUUGCAGUGCCUACAAGCGCUUGAUAUGCAGGUUAUGGGCGCGUGUCGCGUCGACGAGAGGUUGAAACCGUUGUUGAAGAUGAAUGUGUCGAACGACGUCGCAGAGGAUCGAUUGUUAGCUCAAUUGAGCCAGCAUUUCGAGCCGGCGGAAGUUGGAAUGCUUGCGAGGUGCUUCUGUAUACCUCUCGUAUCUAUUCGUGUGGGGAAGAUCAACAAGCAAGGGACUCUCUUGUGUCCCACUGCUGCUAGGGGCAAUUUAAAUCUAACAGUUUUGCCAACUUCAAAUUUACGCCUUUCAUUCGUUGGGGAUGAUGGUCGUAUAGAUAGACUGUGCACCUUACAUAAUAAAUCCGAAUGCUCUGCUGUAGAAGUUAAUGAGAUUCCAGCAGACAAUUCUGGCCGAUCUUUCCUUAUUAAAAUUCCAGAUGACCGGAUUUUUACUUUUGGUGCUCUGAGACAUCACGACUUUUGGGAAUUGAAUUGCUUUUGAAGAUGAAGGAUCUGCUCAAGAGGAAGCCCACCAUAGCUGAGUUAACUGGUAUCAGUGAAUCUCGCCUCGGUUGCUUUGCAACUCACCUACGUGCCUAUCUGGUGGGAUCAACAGCAGGUGGCGGUGCGUCAAGUUCUGCAGGCUCACCUUCUGAUACGUAUACCACCACAGAACCAUGUGAUACAGCUCAACACGGACACUUCUCAUCCACAUCAUCAAAAUCCCUGCGUUCCCGACAUGGUGUCAAUCAACCAAUGAAGGCAAAUUCAUCAUUUCAGGGUAGCCUGAGUCCACGGUCAAGUUCCUUCAAAGAUCUGCCCAGAACCUUGUCUUCUCUGAGGAAUAUUACCAGGGAGAAAUUAAGGAAGCGAGGCGACAUCUAUCUUUCAGCCAUUGACAACCCAACAGUUGCUUCACCAAUCACAUUCACAGUCGAUUCAUCUUGUUCAAAUCAUGCUGAAAGUGACUGGUGUCCAGAACCUAUUAGAAGUUGCUCGUUAUCAUCUUCAGGUUUCCUAGAGUCGCUAGAGAAAACCAGGAACCCUGCAUCACAAGUUCCUUACAUGGUCACCCCUCUGCUCUCUCCUUACUAUUGUUGGUGCCCUCCAGGUUCAUCGGAUUUGCAAUACUCGCCAGGACUUCCUGAACUACCCAGUUUAUCGACAGAGUCAGCAUUGCUUCCACCACUUUCAUCUUUAUUACCACCCAAUAUGCCCUCCAGCAUGUUGACAACAAAACCACCUCUUCAUUUGGCUGAUUCCCCCUUGCUUGAUUUCCCUGCAUUUCUCCCAGACCCACUGGUUAGGCUACCAAGGCCAUCUUCUCAGCAGAUCCCAACUUUCAUACCCUUGAUGUGCGACCCAAUUGUUCACAUUCCAGUUAUUGAUAUUUGCUCGUCGGGUCAAGGAUACUUGGUCAGCGCCGGUCCUGCUAUUUCAACUGCAAUAUCUCCCCUGCACUCGAAACUUGUGAACAUUCCUGAAACUGAUUCCAUGCUGGAGAAGGGUGCCAGAGAGACACUACGACGACUUCUAAUCAGUGGUUCAACCCAGAAUAGCUCACAGCUGAUGGAUGUAUUGCCUGCUAUGAUAACAACUGCACACGAGAAUCGCAACAUGCUUGUUACUGGGAGCAGGGGUCUCUAUAGUGGAACCAGGGACGUUGACGUCAUUGCAAACAGCAUUGCAGCCAUGGGUCUGGUCUCUCUGCCUGGGAUAUCCAAUAUGGCAAGUGUUUUAGAUAGUCGUAGCGGCCGUGACAAUUUUAAUGUACAGGAAGAGGGAACUAGUGGGCUGGAGGGAUCUUGUUCGGAAGAUAAGGGUACCGCCUGGUGUUCGGAUUUUAGGGCGAAGAGGGCCGAUGAAUAAACGAAUGGCGUCCGUCUGUUGUUUCGUUAUGUAGGUUUCUGUUGUUCAAUUUUACAGAAUGUAGAUAUAGGUUGCUGUAGUUUUUGGCGUUUGAAGUGUAAUUAGCGCUUAAUGCCACCGCCUAUAGCUUUGUUCCAUUUUGUUACCUGCAUUGUUUAGUGUUCUUCUUGUGUUGUUCUUGCUGUGUGUGCUUUUGGAAGAACAAAAAGCGCUUUCAGAUGUGGCGGCCACAGAAGCAGUAUUUUCAAUUCUCAAUUAUUCAUUCGCUCCUCAA